Molecule: ribosomal RNA, 253 nt
Filed under: uncultured bacterium
Lineage: Bacteria
Description: partial 16S ribosomal RNA
Rfam family: Bacterial small subunit ribosomal RNA
Source: RNAcentral
GACGUAGGGCGCGAGCGUUGUCCGGAUUUAUUGGGCGUAAAGAGCUCGUAGGCGGCUUGUCGCGUCGUCCGUGAAAACUUGGGGCUCAACCCCAAGCUUGCGGUCGAUACGGGCAGACUAGAGGUAUGCAGGGGAGAACGGAAUUCCUGGUGUAGCGGUGAAAUGCGCAGAUAUCAGGAGGAACACCGGUGGCGAAGGCGGUUCUCUGGGCAUGUCCUGACGCUGAGGAGCGAAAGUGUGGGGAGCGAACAGG